This 471-nucleotide ribosomal RNA is filed under the name Bartramia ithyphylla. RNAcentral describes it as "eukaryotic LSU rRNA". The stretch from base 1 to 89 matches the Rfam family "5.8S ribosomal RNA", at positions 65 to 154 of the family's 154-position model. Lineage: Eukaryota; Viridiplantae; Streptophyta; Bryopsida; Bartramiales; Bartramiaceae. The record is from RNAcentral. RNAcentral also lists the same sequence under 1 other name.
GUGUGAAUUGCAGAAUUCCGCGAAUCAUCGAGUCUUUGAACGCAAGUUGCGCCCGAGGCUUGUCCGAGGGCAUUUCCGCUAGAGCGUCACCGCGCUCCCCCACCGAUCCACCAAAGGUUCUUCGGACCGAAGGUGCGUUUCGAGUGAAAGUGGCCAUCCCGAUGGGGGCGCACCGUCGUCCGAUCGGGUUGGCUGAAAACGAGGGAAUUUGGCCGCCGUGGUGACGGAGCCCGCGAUCAGGUGAUCCGAGCGCAAGCUCGGAACUCAAACGUGCGUGGCUGCGUCGUCCACCUACGAGAGCGAGUUGGAUACUUACGUGAAGAAAAGCAGGUAUGUGUGUUCGGGGCCCCCCUCCUUAAUUGUGUCGGGGGCGUUUUGUGAGUGUUGCCUUGGGGAAACUUGGGAGAACAUUUGGAACAUACGCGUCACGCAUCAGACCUCUAAUCGGAAAAGACUACCCGCUGAGUUUAA